GAAGAGAAGCUUGCUUCUCUUGAGAGCGGCGGACGGGUGAGUAAUGCCUAGGAAUCUGCCUGGUAGUGGGGGAUAACGUUCGGAAACGGACGCUAAUACCGCAUACGUCCUACGGGAGAAAGCAGGGGACCUUCGGGCCUUGCGCUAUCAGAUGAGCCUAGGUCGGAUUAGCUAGUUGGUGAGGUAAUGGCUCACCAAGGCGACGAUCCGUAACUGGUCUGAGAGGAUGAUCAGUCACACUGGAACUGAGACACGGUCCAGACUCCUACGGGAGGCAGCAGUGGGGAAUAUUGGACAAUGGGCGAAAGCCUGAUCCAGCCAUGCCGCGUGUGUGAAGAAGGUCUUCGGAUUGUAAAGCACUUUAAGUUGGGAGGAAGGGCAGUAAAUUAAUACUUUGCUGUUUUGACGUUACCGACAGAAUAAGCACCGGCUAACUCUGUGCCAGCAGCCGCGGUAAU
This 458-nucleotide ribosomal RNA is filed under the name uncultured bacterium. RNAcentral's name for it is "bacterial SSU rRNA". It matches the Rfam family "Bacterial small subunit ribosomal RNA", at positions 70 to 524 of the family's 1533-position model. The record is from RNAcentral.